Molecule: ribosomal RNA, 492 nt
Filed under: uncultured bacterium
Lineage: Bacteria
Description: partial 16S ribosomal RNA
Rfam family: Bacterial small subunit ribosomal RNA
Source: RNAcentral
AGUGAACGCUGGCGGUAGGCCUAACACAUGCAAGUCGAACGGCAGCACAGUAAGAGCUUGCUCUUACGGGUGGCGAGUGGCGGACGGGUGAGGAAUACAUCGGAAUCUACUUUUUCGUGGGGGAUAACGUAGGGAAACUUACGCUGAUACCGCAUACGACCUACGGGUGAAAGCAGGGGAUCUUCGGACCUUGCGCGAUUGAAUGAGCCGAUGUCGGAUUAGCUAGUUGGCGGGGUAAAGGCCCACCAAGGCGACGAUCCGUAGCUGGUCUGAGAGGACGAUCAGCCACACUGGAACUGAGACACGGUCCAGACUCCUACGGGAGGCAGCAGUGGGGAAUAUUGGACAAUGGGCGCAAGCCUGAUCCAGCCAUACCGCGUGGGUGAAGAAGGCCUUCGGGUUGUAAAGCCCUUUUGUUGGGAAAGAAAAGCAGCAGGUUAAUACCCCGCUGUUCUGACGGUACCCAAAGAAUAAGCACCGGCUAACUUCGUG